CGCACGGGUGAGUAACACGUAUCCAACCUGCCUUUACUCGGGGAUAGCCUUUCGAAAGAAAGAUUAAUACCCGAUAGUAUAAUGAUUCCGCAUGGUUUCAUUAUUAAAGGAUUCCGGUAAAGGAUGGGGAUGCGUUCCAUUAGGUUGUUGGUGAGGUAACGGCUCACCAAGCCUUCGAUGGAUAGGGGUUCUGAGAGGAAGGUCCCCCACAUUGGAACUGAGACACGGUCCAAACUCCUACGGGAGGCAGCAUG
Molecule: ribosomal RNA, 254 nt
Filed under: uncultured bacterium
Lineage: Bacteria
Description: partial 16S ribosomal RNA
Rfam family: Bacterial small subunit ribosomal RNA
Source: RNAcentral